GACGAACGCUGGCGGCGUGCUUAACACAUGCAAGUCGAACGGAAAGGCCCUGCUUUUGUGGGGUGCUCGAGUGGCGAACGGGUGAGUAACACGUGAGUAACCUGCCCUUGACUUUGGGAUAACUUCAGGAAACUGGGGCUAAUACCGGAUAGGAGCUCCUGCUGCAUGGUGGGGGUUGGAAAGUUUCGGCGGGUGGGGAUGGACUCGCGGCUUAUCAGCUUGUUGGUGGGGUAGUGGCUUACCAAGGCUUUGACGGGUAGCCUGCCUGAGAGUGUGACCGGCCUCAUUAGGACGGAGGUACGACCCAGGCUCCUAUGGGAGGCAACAGUGGGUAAUCUUGCACAAUAGGCUGAAGCCUGAUGAAGCAACGCCGCGUGCGGGAUGACGGCCUUCGGGUUGUAAACCGCUUUCGCCUGUGACGAAGCGUGAGUGACGGUAAUGGGUAAAGAAGCACCGGCUAACUACGUG
RNAcentral lists this ribosomal RNA (468 nucleotides) under uncultured bacterium. RNAcentral describes it as "partial 16S ribosomal RNA". It matches the Rfam family "Bacterial small subunit ribosomal RNA", at positions 28 to 507 of the family's 1533-position model. The record is from RNAcentral.